CGGGCGCUGGUGGGCGGCGGGGGUGCUCGGUGCUUCGUACGCGCUGUGCGGCUGGUCGGUCGCCGAGGCGUCGUACAACCCGAUGUGGCUGG
RNAcentral lists this transfer RNA (92 nucleotides) under Streptomyces atratus. RNAcentral describes it as "tRNA-Thr". Lineage: Bacteria; Bacillati; Actinomycetota; Actinomycetes; Kitasatosporales; Streptomycetaceae. The record is from RNAcentral.